AUCGUCAUCCAGCGCUAUAUAUUGACGAUGGAGUACAUUUAUCUUUUAUUGGAAAUGAUAUUUUCUUGAAUCAAAUUCAGUCAGCACUAGAAACAUUCAUAAAGUAUCCACAUUGUGUUGUAUUUCCCCACGAUCAUCUUUAAUUUAAAAUAAACAGUUCAUAAUCUAAUGGAUUAAAUACAUGUAUUUUAUGAAAUUUGGUUGUUACAUAAAUGUUGAAUUCGUAAUAUCUUUUAUCAUUUUGAUUGUUUAAAUCAGUUGUAAGUUGCUCGUAGAAUUGGAUAUAACUGAAUUUUCAUGGGUAAAUUUUGUGGCGGAUUAUCAUUCUGUACUAAAGUCCGAUUGAUUAAUUUUGGCGAAAUUUACUUCAUUUUAUGCAGACUAUGGAUAGCCCAGCUGCUAAUUCUGAAAUAUUGCUGAAUGGACCGCCCUUCAGUACACCAGCUUUGGAUCGCCCAGCUGUGAUACAAUGAUUAGUUCAAUCGUCAUCAACAUUUUAUUGAUUGACAAAUAUUUUGGUUGUGUACUGUUGUUGUAACAGUUGUUGUUGUUUUAUGAAUGAAUUUUGAUUAAAUGUUGCCAUGACAAUUCAAUAUCCAAACAAAAUCAGAGUUUGUUAUUUGUUGUACUGAAAUACAAAUCAAGGCAUCAAUGGCGUCUGUUCGUCAAUUCUGUUAAUUGGUAAUUUACACCAAGUGGUAUGUUUGAUCCAAUGAUAUAUUCAAUAAUAGAAUUUAAUUAAAUGAAAAUUAAAUUCAUUUAUUGAAUUAACAUAUAUACAUGUAUUGAGACUCGACAAAUCGAGUCGUCCUUUACUCUUAUUAUGCUAAUUUGAGCAUGUGACAGCCGAGUAGUAAAAGUCCGUGCAAUUUAACGGUCUCUUUUACCUUGAAAACUGAACGGAGAGGACGUUAAAAAAUUAAGACCCUCCUCGCCCACCCUUAAGAAUUGAACUUUGUUUGCUGCUGGCUCUAUUUAUUUUUCAGAUGCUCCAGUCUUCAAACACAAAUCCGUCAUGGUAACAUGCUGAAGCAGUCACACAACCGGAGCGAAGUUUAUUUCAUUCUAUGCAGACUAUGGAUAGCCCAGCUGCUAAUUCUGAAAUAUUGCUGAAUGGACCGCCCUUCAGUACACCAGCUUUGGAUCGCCCAGCUGUGAUACAAUGAUUAGUUCAAUCGUCAUCAACAUUUUAUUGAUUGACAAAUAUUUUGGUUGUGUACUGUUGUUGUAACAGUUGUUGUUGUUUUAUGAAUGAAUUUUGAUUAAAUGUUGCCAUGACAAUUCAAUAUCCAAACAAAAUCAGAGUUUGUUAUUUGUUGUACUGAAAUACAAAUCAAGGCAUCAAUGGCGUCUGUUCGUCAAUUCUGUUAAUUGGUACUUUACACCAAGUGGUAUGUUUGAUCCAAUGAUAUAUUCAAUAA
Molecule: long non-coding RNA, 1421 nt
Filed under: Mytilus galloprovincialis (Mediterranean mussel)
Lineage: Eukaryota; Metazoa; Mollusca; Bivalvia; Mytilida; Mytilidae
Source: RNAcentral